RNAcentral lists this ribosomal RNA (447 nucleotides) under uncultured bacterium. RNAcentral describes it as "bacterial SSU rRNA". It matches the Rfam family "Bacterial small subunit ribosomal RNA", at positions 330 to 792 of the family's 1533-position model. The record is from RNAcentral.
UCCAGACUCCUACGGGAGGCAGCAGUGGGGAAUAUUGGGCAAUGGGCGCAAGCCUUACCCAGCAAUACCGCGUGAGUGAAGAAGGUCUUCGGAUUGUAAAGCUCUUUGAUCAGGGACGAACAGAUGACGGUACCUGAAGAACAAGCCCCGGCUAACUACGUGCCAGCAGCCGCGGUAAUACGUAGGGGGCAAGCGUUAUCCGGAUUUACUGGGUGUAAAGGGAGCGUAGACGGCAUGGCAAGUCAGAUGUGAAAGCCCGGGGCUCAACCCCGGGACUGCAUUUGAAACUGUCAGGCUGGAGUGCAGGAGAGGUAAGUGGGAUUCCUAGUGUAGCGGUGAAAUGCGUAGAUAUUAGGAGGAACACCAGUGGCGAAGGCGGCUUACUGGACUGUAACUGACGUUGAGGCUCGAAAGCGUGGGGAGCAAACAGGAUUAGAUACCCGAGUA